RNAcentral lists this ribosomal RNA (271 nucleotides) under uncultured bacterium. RNAcentral describes it as "partial 16S ribosomal RNA". It matches the Rfam family "Bacterial small subunit ribosomal RNA", at positions 524 to 794 of the family's 1533-position model. The record is from RNAcentral.
UACGUAGGUGGCAAGCGUUGUCCGGAUUUACUGGGCGUAAAGAGCGCGCAGGCGGUCUUGUAAGUCGAAUGUGAAAGCCCCUGGCUCAACCAGGGAGGGUCAUUCGAUACUGCUUGACUCGAAGGCAGGAGAGGGAAGUGGAAUUCCGGGUGUAGUGGUGAAAUGCGUAGAUAUCCGGAGGAACACCAGUGGCGAAGGCGACUUUCUGGCCUGUUCUUGACGCUGAGGCGCGAAAGCUAGGGGAGCAAACGGGAUUAGAUACCCUUGUAGU